UCUUAGCCCCGAUUGCAACGACAUCCUUUUGUGCAGCAAAGCGGAACAAAAGAUAUAGUGGAAAGCGGGAAAAAGC
Non-coding RNA from Chryseobacterium sp. MOF25P, 76 nucleotides. The record is from Rfam. Lineage: Bacteria; Pseudomonadati; Bacteroidota; Flavobacteriia; Flavobacteriales; Weeksellaceae.